RNAcentral lists this ribosomal RNA (252 nucleotides) under uncultured bacterium. Its description in RNAcentral is "partial 16S ribosomal RNA". It matches the Rfam family "Bacterial small subunit ribosomal RNA", at positions 524 to 775 of the family's 1533-position model. The record is from RNAcentral.
UACGGAGGGGGCGAGCGUUAUUCGGAAUUAUUGGGCGUAAAGGGCGCGUAGGCGGCUUGGUAAGUCAAAGGUGAAAUCCCUCGGCUCAACUGAGGAACUGCCUUUGAAACUGCCUGGCUUGAGGCCGGGAGGGGGUAGCGGAAUUCCCAAUGUAGCGGUGAAAUGCGUAGAUAUUGGGAGGAACACCGGUGGCGAAGGCGGCUACCUGGACCGGUUCUGACGCUGAUGCGCGAAAGCGUGGGGAGCGAACAG